AGUGAACGCUGGCGGUAGGCCUAACACAUGCAAGUCGAACGGCAGCACAGGAGAGCUUGCUCUCUGGGUGGCGAGUGGCGGACGGGUGGGGAAUACAUCGGAAUCUACUUUGUCGUGGGGGAUAACGUAGGGAAACUUACGCUAAUACCGCAUACGACCUACGGGUGAAAGCAGGGGAUCUUCGGACCUUGCGCGAUUGAAUGAGCCGAUGUCGGAUUAGCUAGUUGGCGGGGUAAAGGCCCACCAAGGCGACGAUCCGUAGCUGGUCUGAGAGGAUGAUCAGCCACACUGGAACUGAGACACGGUCCAGACUCCUACGGGAGGCAGCAGUGGGGAAUAUUGGACAAUGGGCGCAAGCCUGAUCCAGCCAUACCGCGUGGGUGAAGAAGGCCUUCGGGUUGUAAAGCCCUUUUGUUGGGAAAGAAAUCCAGCCGGCUAAUACCUGGUUGGGAUGACGGUACCCAAAGAAUAAGCACCGGCUAACUUCGUGCCAGCAGCCGCGGUAAUACGAAGGGUGCAAGCGUUACUCGGAAUUACUGGGCGUAAAGCGUGCGUAGGUGGUUAUUUAAGUCCGUUGUGAAAGCCCUGGGCUCAACCUGGGAACUGCAGUGGAUACUGGAUGACUAGAAUGUGGUAGAGGGUAGCGGAAUUCCUGGUGUAGCAGUGAAAUGCGUAGAGAUCAGGAGGGAACAUCCAUGGCGAAGGCAGCUACCUGGACCAACAUUGACACUGAGGCACGAAAGCGUGGGGAGCAAACAGG
This 760-nucleotide ribosomal RNA is filed under the name uncultured Stenotrophomonas sp. RNAcentral describes it as "bacterial SSU rRNA". It matches the Rfam family "Bacterial small subunit ribosomal RNA", at positions 28 to 776 of the family's 1533-position model. Lineage: Bacteria; Pseudomonadati; Pseudomonadota; Gammaproteobacteria; Lysobacterales; Lysobacteraceae. The record is from RNAcentral.